Molecule: unclassified non-coding RNA, 377 nt
Filed under: uncultured Parachlamydiaceae bacterium
Lineage: Bacteria; Pseudomonadati; Chlamydiota; Chlamydiia; Parachlamydiales; Parachlamydiaceae
Description: contains 16S-23S intergenic spacer region
Source: RNAcentral
UCCCGGUUAACCCGGGCAGUCUCGCUAGAGUUCCCACCUAAUAUGUUGGCAACUAACGAUAAGGGUUGCGCUCGUUGCGGGACUUAACCCAACACCUCACGGCACGAGCUGACGACAGCCAUGCAGCACCUGUGCAGCGGUCCCGAAGGAACUUCUCAUCUCUGAAAAUGUCCACUGCAUGUCAAGCCUGGGUAAGGUUCUUCGCGUUGCAUCGAAUUAAACCACAUGCUCCACUGCUUGUGCGGGUCCCCGUCAAUUCUUUUGAGUUUCAGCCUUGCGACUGUACUUCCCAGGCGGUAUACUUAACGCGUUAGCUCCGGCACAGCCAGGGUUGAUUCCGGCUACACCAAGUAUACAUAGUUUACGGCAAGGACUAC